UGCCACACAGCCUGCCUUCAGAGGCACCA
This 29-nucleotide non-coding RNA is filed under the name Rattus norvegicus (Norway rat). Lineage: Eukaryota; Metazoa; Chordata; Mammalia; Rodentia; Muridae. The record is from RNAcentral.